UGCGUAGACGGGAAAUUAAGUUAGUUGUGAAAUCCCUCGGCUUAACUGAGGAACUGCAACUAAAACUGAUUUUCUUGAGUGCUGGAGAGGAAAGUGGAAUUCCUAGUGUAGCGGUGAAAUGCGUAGAUAUUAGGAGGAACACCAGUGGCGAAGGCGACUUUCUGGACAGUAACUGACGUUGAGGCACGAAAGUGUGGGGAGCAAACA
RNAcentral lists this ribosomal RNA (207 nucleotides) under uncultured bacterium. RNAcentral's name for it is "partial 16S ribosomal RNA". It matches the Rfam family "Bacterial small subunit ribosomal RNA", at positions 568 to 774 of the family's 1533-position model. The record is from RNAcentral.